RNAcentral lists this unclassified non-coding RNA (512 nucleotides) under Hevea brasiliensis (rubber tree). Lineage: Eukaryota; Viridiplantae; Streptophyta; Magnoliopsida; Malpighiales; Euphorbiaceae. The record is from RNAcentral.
UCUCACACACACACACACACACAUUCUGCCUCUCUGUCUUCUUGUUCUGCAACCAUCAACACCCCAUAGCAACCCUGGGAAACCCAGAACAAAAGGUUCUGUGGGAAUUGAUCCACAAUUGUAACUGCCAUCAUAAGCACAAAUCUAAAACACAAAAUCAACAAUUUUUUGAAUAAAAGUUGUUGAUUUCAGGAGAGAAAAAUCUCAGUUUCCUCUCUUCUUUCUCUUCUAAUGCUAUCCAUGACAAUGGAUUUUACAAUCUCACCAUUGAUCAAGGCUCUCCAAGCAUCAUCCAUGGCCCUUCCUAGGCCAUGGUGAUGACACCAAAGAUAGUUGCCAAAAAUUUAUCAGAUUCGCCAUUAAAGAAAUACUUCAUCAUUCUCCAUGAGAGAAAGUUGCUUUAAUUACUUACAAUGAGUGUAUGCUGCAUUACUCAAACCAAGAUAUCUUCUCUUUGGUGCAAACAAAGCCCAUUUUAUAGCUGUUGAAUAUGCGAGAAGUUUCAGAGCCCA